This 714-nucleotide long non-coding RNA is filed under the name Salmo salar (Atlantic salmon). RNAcentral describes it as "lncRNA (ENSSSAG00000095658.1, ENSSSAG00000113232.1)". The record is from RNAcentral. Lineage: Eukaryota; Metazoa; Chordata; Actinopteri; Salmoniformes; Salmonidae.
GAGCGUCGGAAACUAUCGAGUCUUGCCGAGCAAGAGCAGUGACACAACUACCAUCGCAAACCACAGUCAAAUGAGAGCCACAAUCACGGAAUUUUCACCUUCGCUGCGUUAAAAACUCGGAAACUUUGUCAGGGUCGUUUGAAUACGCUUUGCUUUAGGAAAGACUGGGCUUACAGGCCUAUUUAGUUAUGAGCUAUUUAUAUCACUUGAAGGGGGAAAUUGUUUGUCUUGAAGUUUUAAUGACUUUCACAUCCUGAAAUGAAACGGGUAAAGGCACAUGGUCUAAUGAUAACGGAACAUAUGGAUACAGACGUUUAGAGGUCGAAACUACAGGAGAGAUGAUGGGACUACGCGGAGUUGAGUGAUAGGAACAGAAUGAUGACUGAAAAACAACGAGAGCAGCCUUUGGUUCUGACCCACUACAGAGCCUCUCGUUCAUGUCGAUGCUUCCACAACUACCUCACCGCUGAAUGUUACCUUUGUGUCUCUGAUCGACUUCAGACACUUUAAAAAACUUUCAUCCACACAUUCUAGUGACAUGAAAGCCAUUGAGCUGUCUGAGGAAGGAAGUUCAGAGGAAGGUCCUUUUGUUUUGGGCCCGGUACCGCCUACACAGUGUCCUGCGAUUUCAUUGGACCUUCUAACUACACGCUGCAACAAGCUGUUCUGUGGAGCCCCCCCACCCUGCAACGAGCUGUUCUGUGGAGCCCCCCC